This 76-nucleotide transfer RNA is filed under the name Pseudomonas sp. RNAcentral's name for it is "tRNA-Ile". It matches the Rfam family "tRNA". From Rfam's summary of the family: Transfer RNA (tRNA) molecules are approximately 80 nucleotides in length. Their secondary structure includes four short double-helical elements and three loops (D, anti-codon, and T loops). Lineage: Bacteria; Pseudomonadati; Pseudomonadota; Gammaproteobacteria; Pseudomonadales; Pseudomonadaceae. The record is from RNAcentral. RNAcentral also lists the same sequence under 5 other names.
UGGCCCGAAGCAUUGAAGGUUGAUGCGCCCGGCUCAUAACCGGGGGAAGAGGGUUCAAGCCCCUACGGGCCGACCA